GUGCUCACUUCGGCAGCAUAUAUACUAAAACUGGAUCGAUACAGAGAAGAUUAGCAUGACCCCUCUGCAAGGAUGACAUGUCAAUUCAUGAGGCAGUCCAUAAAAUA
Molecule: small nuclear RNA, 107 nt
Organism: Molossus molossus (Pallas's mastiff bat)
Lineage: Eukaryota; Metazoa; Chordata; Mammalia; Chiroptera; Molossidae
Source: RefSeq, a predicted model, not a curated record